UUGGGAUUUUUUAUUUGAUGUUGAUUUGGCGAUAAAUUGAACAGUACCUAGCCUAUGCACGGAAAAUAAAACUGCACGUUGAGUAAAACUCAGUGGUAUUUCUAUAUUCCGAAUAACAUAAGCUUGAUAUAAGUAUUUAAAAUGCAAAAUACAACAAGUAAGCUAUGUUCAUGUGUUUCAAUUCAAUGGUAUAAUUUUUUUCUCAUUCCUUAUUCACAUCUACUAAGAUUUUCACAUAUUCAAAUAUAUAGGUAUACAUUAAUGGCAUUUUAUUUAACAUUUGAAUACAUCAUUUUAUGCAAUGGCAUGAUUCAUAUAUUUGAUCAAUACUUGAAUUCAUUCAAGUUUCACAUCUCAAUUCAUCAUUUCAUAUCUCAUUUCUCAUCUCAUAAUCAUUUCUCAUAUUUGUCAUUUCAAUAUUUCCUCAUCUCAUAUUCAUUUCUCAUCUUUUCCAUUUCAAUUAGAUAAAUUAUUAUUUUACUUUCCCUUAUUAACACGACACGGGCUUGGACAGAUACACGAAUCCAACCAACACAAUAGUUUGACACCCAGUGCCUCAUCGGAUAAAUCUGAAGUAAUAACUAAGCCUAGCGCUAUAUAAAUUGACACCCAGUAUCUCAUCGGUUAAACCAAAGCAAAUUGGCACCUAGUGCCUCAUCGACUCGAGGUCGAAGUAAUCCUUGAACUCUUCCUAUCCUAUGACAUUCCAUCUAUAUCUGACUCAGCUCGAUACAAUUAAUAAGGAUUCAUUUCACUUUUCAAUACAACCAAUGUCUCAAUUUCAUGAAUGUAUAUCAUCACAUAUAAGCAUAUAUUCAAUUUGGUAAAAAUCACAUUUUUCUCAAUACACAUAUAUUCAUAAUCAAUAUAUUUCAUAAUAUACAAAAUCAAUCCAUUUCAUUUUAAGUAUGAAUUUAAUUUAAUCUCAAAGUACCAAAGUACUCACCUCAAAUCCUUACCAUAUGCAAACAAUUAUAUAUGCAAAAUAGUCUACUAUUUAAUUUGGAUUAUAGAAACACAAACAGUGAUUUCCGAGCUAUUCAACGUUGAUUUUAUCCUUCCCCUUUUUACUUGAGGAUAUCGAUACAACGUUAGCUACGAAAUAAAAUAAUUAAAUCACAUUAAUAUUACACAUUUUAACUUCACAUUAAAUUUCAAUUUUCACACUAUAUUUUGCUUAUUCUUCAAUUUAGUCCCUAAACCGAGACUGAUUUUAACCUUCACAAUUAACUUUAUAUUUCUAUACUAAUUUUACUCUAGACCACAUUUAGCUUCCUCUUUUCCAAUUCGACCCCUUAAUUUUGAAAUUUUCACAAUUUAGUCCCUAUUAUUCAAAAUCAACAAUUAAUUCCACAAUUUAGUCCUUUUCUAUUUCUAACUUAAAAAUCUAUAUAUUUAAUCCUUAAUACUUAAACUACUCAACAAUGUCAACAUCUAAAAUCUUGAACAAUACUAAAAAUUACAAUAUGAGUCGGGUAGCCCUAAAUAUCGAGAUUCCAAAAACGUAAAAUUUACAAGAUAAAAACUAAAUUGCACAAACCAAUUUGGAUUUGAAUUUCAAAACCCCUAGCCGUGCAUUCUCUUCUUCUUUUUCUUUUUCUUUCUUUCAUUUGUUUAAUUUGCAUGUCUCCACUUUCUUUUCUUUUAUUAUAACUUUCAUUCUAAUUAUUAUUAUAAUAUAUAUACACAUUAAAGUUAACAUAUAUUAAAUAUAUAUAUAUAUACUGUCGAAACCAUUUUUUUGAAAAAUAAAAGUUUUAGGUUGUCGACUUUUAAAAAAUGAAAAUUGGGAGUCGCCACCAAUCUUUUAUUGAGGUGUGAUUGGAUCACCUAAAAAAACGGCUUUGGUCUACGAGUUUUAGAAAAACGGAUCCGGGAGUCGGUUACAUACGAGGAAGGAUUAGCACCCUCGUAACGCCCAAAAUUGGUACCUAGUUAAUUAAUUAAUGUCUUAAUGUCGAAAAUUUGAAAAAUAUAAUCCUUAGCAAAAACUGAAAAAUGUUACGUAUUAAGACCCUUAUCAUUUCAGAGAAAGAAAAUGCCACACCCAAUGCGUUAGGGCACGACAUUCUAAUUUCCUUAAAAAUGAACUAGGCAAAAAUACUCGUACAAUAAAAAUUUAAAAGAAUAUCCAUUUAUUCAAGAUUUAAGAAAUCGCGGCCCAAUACGUUAGGGCACAAUUCCUCUAAAGUCCCAAACUCGGAAUAUUUCCUUUAUUAUUAUUUUUUAGAAAAAAUCUUCAUUUCGAGAAAUCAAUGCGUCACAUCCAAUACGUUAGGACACAAGGUGUUGAAUUCCCAAUAAUGAGUUCUUAUUUUUUGAUUAAAGAGAAAUGCUCGAUUGUUAGAUUUAACAAAGAAAAUCAGAACCCAAUACGUUAGGGCUCAAUUUCCUUGAAAAUCCUAAAUACGAACAUUAUCUCAAUUUUGAAAAUUUUCUAUUUUUAAAUUCGAGUAAAAGAUGAUGUAACGUUAUUUUAUAUGUGCAAAUGUCGUAAUAACAAUGAUAACAAAUACAAUAAUGACAAAAAAAUAAUAUAAAAAAAUAAAUAAAAAAUAAAAGAUAUGAAAAUAUAAAUCAGCAAACAAAGAAAAAAAUAAAAAAAUAAAUGAAGAAAGGAAAGUGCAUAACAUAUACAUUGGAAUUAUAAGAAAUAAAAUACACGAUUUACAUAUAAAAUUUGAAUUAUAAAAUUUAUAUAAGUAUACAAUGCAUUUAUGAAAAUAAAGAAAAAUGUAUAAAUAUACAUAUAUAAAGUUUAAAAUAUAUGUGUAAAAAAAUAUAAAUAUGUAUUUAAGCAUUUUCGAAAAUAUAAAAAAAUAUGUACGUAUAUGUAUGAAAAUAUAAUAGAAUAUUCAAAAAAAAUAUGUAUACAUGUAAAACACAUUAAAAAUAAUUUAUUAAUAUCUACAUUAAGAAAAAAAAAUAUGAAUAUAUAUAAAUAUGAAAAAAAUAGUUGAAAGAAAAUAAAGAUGCUCAUAAGAAAAUAAUAAACAUACAUAUAUAAUUAAAAUAAUUACAUAAAAAAUAAUUACAUCCUAAAAAUUAACUAAUUUUAAGAAAGAUAUAAAAAGAACUAAAUUGAAUUGCAAAUAAAAAUUUGGGGUAAAUUCGUAAAUAAAUAAAGCCAAAAGGACCACAUUUGAACACGCAAAUAGAGGGGCUGGAAGGGCAAUUUUCCCUUCUCCCUUUUUUAAAAUUGUAGAUAAGUAAAAAAUAAUCGAAAAAGAAAAAAAGAAAACAAUAAGCCACCUUUAAAAAAACUGCCAAUAGUUCUCCCUUUUUUUUAUUGAUUCUCCCCCUUUUUGAUGAAUGGAGAGGCCUCUAUUUAUAGCUGAGCCUCCCCAAAUCCAACGGUACAAAUCAAUUACAUCAACGACUAAGAUUAAAGGGUAUCUACAAAUUAAAUCUUUAAGAUUACAAAAUCAUAUCUUCUAAGAUUGUAUAUAUCAUAUCUAAGAUUACAUAUAUCAUAUCUAAUAUUGCAUAUAUCAUAUCUAAGAUUGCAUAUCAUAUCUAAGAUUGUAUAUCCUCGAAAAUUAUGUUUCCAUAUGUGAGCCCGGGCUAAAAUUGGGUAUUACAGCUACCCCUCUUUGCUCGUUGUCGUGUAACAGGAACGGAGCAAAGACUUUAGUAAUGGCCAAUUUUUGCCCGGUCACGCUAGAUCUUGGUGCUCUUCUUCUUCAAGCAGCCACAUCCAUCCUGCUGCACCUUCAGAGGUAUAGGAAUUGGCGUCUCGAUCCACUCCACCACAAUAUCGGAGAGAUAGGAUUGGUGACUCGUAACUUUUAAUCUGCUUAACUGUAAUUUCAGAGAGAUAAAAUCCAUCACUCUAACCCACUCCACUACAACUUAGGGAGAUAGGAUUUGUUUAUUUAGUCUGCCUCACUUCAACUUUAGGAGGAUAAGACUUGUUUACUUAGUCUGCUCCACUGCAACUUCAGGGAGAUAAGACUAGACACGAUCUGCUCUCUGCAACUUCAGAGAGAUAAGAUCCAAGGUUUUGAUCCGCUCCACUACAACUUCAGGGAGAUAGGAUUAUCGGCUCUAAUCUGCUCCACUGCAACUUCAGGGAGAUAAGAUUUGCCAUCUUCAGUCUACCUCACUACAACUUCAGGAGGAUAAGACUUGCUUGCUGAGUCUGCUCCACUGCAACUUCAGGGAGAUAGGAUUAUCGGCUCUAAUCUGCUCCACUGCAACUUCAGGGAGAUAAGAUUUGCCAUCUUCAGUCUACCUCACUACAACUUCAGGAGGAUAAGACUUGCUUGCUGAGUCUGCUCCACUGCAACUUCAGGGAGAUAAGACUAGAUGCGAUCUGAUCUCUGCAACUUCAGAGAGAUACGAUCCAAGGUUUUAAUCCGCUCAACUGCAACUUUAAGAAGAUAGGAUUAUCGACUUUAAUCUGCUCCACUGCAACUUUAGGGAGAUAAGAUUUGCCAUCUUCAGUCUGCCUCACUGCAACUUCAGGAGGAUAAGACUUGCUUACUUAGUCUGCUCCACUGCAACUUCAGGGAGAUAAGACUAGAUGCGAUCUGCUCUCUACAAAUUCAGAGAGAUAAGAUCCAAGGUUUUAAUCCGCUCCACUGCAACUUUAGGGAGAUAUGAUUAUCGACUCUAAUCUGCUCCACUGCAACUUCAGGGAGAUAGAAUUUGCCGUCUUCAGUCUGCCUCACUGCAACUUCAGGAGGAUAAGACUUGCUUACUUAGUCUGCUCCACUGCAACUUCAGGGAGAUAAGACUAGAUACGAUCUGCUCUCUGCAACUUCAGAGAGAUAAGAUUUAAGGUUUUAAUCCGCUCCACUGCAACUUCAAGGAGAUAGGAUUAUCGGCCACCGAUCUGUUCUCUAGGGAACAUGACCUGUAAAAAUCCAUUCUAUGAACUUAAUUAUGCCUAGUGAUUAGGAUGUUAUGAUCAAAAUGAUUUCAAUGCUCCUAACUAGACAUGCAUGAAUGACAUUUGAAUGAAUGCAGAAUGUCAUUUUUCGAGAAUUAUCACUCAAGUUAUCAUUUCUCAAAAUUUAUUAAGCUUUUGUCGCUAACGUUUUUUGCUUGGCUAAACGCUUAAUCAAAUUGCCCCCUAUUUUGAACUUCAAAGCUUAAUCCAUUAGGACAUAAAAUUUGUACCAUCAUUCUCCCUCUGCAGCCCGAGGGUAGAACUGUAUGGCUUUUCCUCAAUCCACUCCUAUCACAAUUCAAGGAUACAGGAUCUAAAUCUUUCUGGUCUCUUACACCAUUCCCAGGGUGUCGUACCAAAGGCUCAUGCGCAAAUGAAAGCUCUCUUCCCCGAGGUAGCCUCUUUCAAUUGUCUGGUGAUCAUUGCUUACUUGUUUAUUUUAGCUUUGUCACCAAACUGACAUCUUAUCAUUUGGUUCAACCAAUGUUUUUGACAACAAAAUCCAAAGAGAAAGUCCUAGUUUAGACUCUUCCUUUUUAGAUUUCCAACCUUUAAACCUAGUGCGUUCUAAAUAAUAGUCAUGUUUCAAGCUUCUGUAUUAUUUAGAAACUUAUAGAGCAAUAUGCAAAACUUCCCUUGUGGAAGUUUUGUUAGUCCAUUAAUCAUUAUUCCAAUGCAACAUGCUUGCGAAAAAUGUCAUAACAAUGGAUAAGAAUAAAGUUAGUUCUGAGCAUAGCUCGAAAGGAAUAAAUUAUCAAAAAUAGUAAAGAAGGAUAAAGAAAUAGAUUGGGAAUGCGUAUCUUGGAAAAGAAUGAAGUAUUCCAAGAACAACAAAUUUAAAAUAAAUAGUAUGGAGAUGAGGUGCCCCAGAUAUCGCAGCUUGAACUUCUCUGUACAAACUUUCUGAAGACCCUUCUGAGUUUGACAUGUGUUUGAGAGAUCUACAGUACUCUGUCGAUGCCUCAAGGUGUUGCCUACUCUUUCCUAAUAAUUCAGGUAUAGCAAGAUCACCACAUGCCCCAAUCAGGUUAAAAUUUGAGUUGCUCUAAUCACCUCGUGCCCCAUUCCGAUCAAUAUUUGAGUCGCCCUUUCUGGGUUUUCAACUCAAAUCCCCUUUGGUCUCAAGGUGCCUUUUGCGGGUUUUCACUUUGGCCUCUCCAUUUUCCUUUUCUUUUUCUUUUUAUCACUUUUUCUUCUUUUUUUUCUCUUUUUUUAUAUUUUGAUUUUGACUUUUUUUUUGAAUCUGAACUCAUAGGAUUAGGCAAGUCCUCGUUAUCCCUUUCGAUCAGAAUCAAAUUUCUUUCAUAGAGCCUUUUGGGGCGAAAUUUAACUAACUUCGAUGGGCUAAACCAUGAUGAGCCAAAGAAGAAGGCAUUGUCCCGGCAAAGAAUCCUAAAUGCAUCGUUCAUGAUGUUAAUCUUGAACAUACUAUAAAUUUUUGAUAUCGUAUUAUUGUUCAGAUUACAAUGUCAGUGCUUACCCAAGCAUAUCCUGAUAUGACCAUACAAAGACAUCUUUGAACUCUUUGAAGUAACUCAAUAAGGUUUUGCUUCAUUUUUUCGAUUAUGCACGUUCCCUUAAGGUCACAAUCUCCAUUGUCUCCUCAUGAGGUAAGAUUUUAUUCCUGUUCUACCAUCCUCAACAAGUCUGAAAAUAGGCUACAAUCUAUGUCAUCUUUAAAGUCAUGAGAUUCCUCUAAACACAGAUCCCACUCAAAAGGAACUUCUGAGUUCGGAACAGCAUCGCUCAUGUCAUUGAUAUCUGGGGACCCAUAGUAGGUACCAAAGAAUAUACAAAAGAAUGUAUGAAUAAUCAUUUGUACAAUUAUGAAUGAAAUAAAAGAAUAAUAUGGGAGAAGAUUCGAAAGAAUGAAAGUAUAAUUAUUUGAAAAGAAUGAAAGAAUAUUGGAUUAAAAAAUGAAUGCAAAGAUUUAUUUUAUUAGAAUAACGACGUUCAGACAUGAGCCUAUUUCAUAAAGGAAUUCUUAUUGCCUCUAGGCUGAAUGCAACAAGUGUGUUUUGAACAUUACUCUGAGUAAUCUCUAAAUACUACAGGGGUUUCUUCUGCAGUCUAAUUAUUUAGAACACUCGCAAGUCUAUAAGGGCAAAAAUCUGACAAGGUCCCUUCUUCAGUUGUUUCAUCGUGAACACUUCUCGACACCCCUUCAUAUAUUGCAUUCAAUCAUGACUGGGUACUAGAUGAGCCAUCCAUCUUGACAAUACCCAUGUUGAUGAAUUUUUCAACAGCUUUUUGAAGGUAAUGCAAUUCUCUAUAGAGUGUCCCAUAAUUCCCGCAUGAUAAUCGCAUUGUGCACUUGCGUCGUACCAUUUGGGAUACGGAGGCUGUGGAGGCUUCACAUGUAAAGGAGAAACAACAUGCGCAUCGAAUAAGCUUUGAUAUAGCUCCUUGUAUGACAUUGGAAUUGGCGUGAACUGGAGUUUUUCAGUACCUUGCUUCACAUAUGAACCCUGCUGAUUAGCAAUCGAUUUACUGUACGUGUUCACGCUGUUCACCUCAUUUUCUUUUUCUUUUGAGGUUUGCCUUCUGUUAUUUCCUCCAGCAUCAAUCUUUCCGCUCCUUAUGACGCUUUCAAUCAUUUCACCAUUCAUGAUUAUGUCAGAAAAGCUUUUUGUGGCACUCCCUAACAUAUGUGUGAUGAAUGGAGCUUUCAAUGUAUUUAUGAAUAGCAUUGUCAUUUCCUUUUCCAGGAGCGGUGGCUGAACUUGGACGGCGACCUCCCUCCACCUUUGUGCGUACUGCCUAAAGCUUUCAUUUGAUUUUUUUCUAAAUUCUGCAAGGUGAUUCUAUCAGGAACCAUAUUUGUCACAUGACUGUAUUGUUUUAUGAAUGCCUGCGCUAAAUCCCUCCAUGAACCAAUCAUGGUACGGCUCAAUUGAUUGUACCAUUUAGAUGCUGCCCCUACGAGGCUAUCCUGGAAACAAUGUAUCAGCAGCUGGUCAUUAUUAACAUACCCAGACAUCCGUCUACAAAACAUAGUUAUAUGAGCUUUGGGGCUACUAGUUCCAUUGUACUUCUCAAACUCAGGCAUUUUGAACUUGUAAGGGAGCACUAAAUCAGGAACCAAGUUCAAUUCUUUAGCAUCAACCCCAUAAUAGCUUUCAGUAUUUUCCAUCGCUCUAGAUUUUUCUUCCAACCAUUUGUACUUUGCUUCUAGCUGUUUUGACGAUUCAUCCUUCAUUUUCUCUCUUCCAGCCAUUUCAUCAAAGUCAGGGACAGUAGGAUUAAUAAGGUUAUCUCCCAAGUUAGAGCCCGAUCCAACUUGAAAUUUCGUUGGUAUUGAAGCAUUGGCCUGUAAUUGCUGAGACUUAAUGGUGAUAGAAGAUCUGCGUGGAUAUACCUCAACAUGCUGAGGGGUAGAGCCUGAGGGAUAAACAAGUCCCUUACUGUCUCCUUCUUCAAUAUUGAGCACAAAGCCCUUUCCUUUAUCCACUCCUCCCGUCAACAACUGAGUCAACUUAUCCAUCAUACUCCCCUGAUAUUCCAUUAUUUUAUCCAUCAUUUUUUGUUGAAUUUUCUCAAGCUGCUUAUUCAUUUGUUGUUGAAGCUGAUCUUGCAUUUCCUUCUGGAACUGUUCUAGCCUUUGAUCCAUGUCCUUAGUUUCCAAACGAGUACCGUAGCGGCGUUUGGUAGGUUGAUUGGUUUCCAGAUUAACUGAGGAGUGAUUUAAAUUAAUUAGAAUCUUUUGAUGAAUUUUAAUGCUAUGAUAUCAUGUAAUGCGAAUGCACGAAAUGAAUGCAUAAAGAGAUGUUGAUUCUGAUUCAAUUCCAUUUAAAAAACUUUACUAGAAAGCAAAUCUCUUUACAUAAAGUGGAUAUUUAUACGGCUUGCCCUCAUAGGCGAAGAUAUUCAAUCCUCUUCUUCAUUCGAGCGUUAAGAUAAAUCUCACAAACUCUUCAAAAAACGUCUCUUCUAUCUCCUUUUUGCUCGAUCCGAGCCGUAACUUGUUGCUCACUCAUCCUCGUGAUGCUCAUUGGCUUCUCUUUAAGAAGGUUCAGCAGCUCUCAAAUAAUCUUUGUCAUCUGAAUCCUUGGGCAACGGAGCCUUAGUCGUGUAGUCCUCCAUUAAAUUAUCAUCUUUCUCUUAUCACAUGUUCUUGGACCAUAUUCGGACAACCAUAUUGUCAUCCCCUUUAUCAAGAAACCCAUUUCCUUAUGACAAACUCUCUAUUUAGCAACUGAAUGUGAAUCAACACUUCUUUUCUAGGAUGCAAAUGCAAUGCAAUCAUAAUAAAAAUAACAUAAAAAACAAGUUAGUACAAAGUAAAAGCAAAUGAAUAAAGUACCUACUCGGGAAACCACUAGGGUUUGGUGUAAUUACUCCUAAGGUGGGUAACUAGGGUUCACUAUAUGUAGUUUGGCUCUAAGGUAAGGGUACCUGAACUAGCAGAUUCCUCGAUCCUCACCCAUUAUAGGCUCAUACGGACCAAGUUUAGUUCAGGGGAAUACAUUUUCCUAUGGCUACACGGAGAUGAAAAUCUCACGAAGACAUAGGUACGGAUGUAUCCCGAAAGCAAUCCGCUAUCCUGCACGGAGGUGAAGACCUCACGAAGGAAAUAGCUUUUCACUUCCACUUAAAAGGGUACAAUCAUUCAACUCAUGUAAUGAAUAAUGCAAAGAUCAAUUAAGCAAGAAAAUGAAUGAAUGCACAAUGAUCUCAUGAUUUUUUUAAAAAAAAAUUAUUUUCUCAACAAUAAGACAGAAAUUAAUCAACUUUGUGGAUCAACUCUCGUAUGUGUCCCCAGCGGAGUCGCCAAGCUGUCGAAACCAUUUUUUUGAAAAAUAAAAGUUUUAGGUUGUCGACUUUUAAAAAAUGAAAAUUGGGAGUCGCCACCAAUCUUUUAUUGAGGUGUGAUUGGAUCACCUAAAAAACGGCUUUGGUCUACGAGUUUUAGAAAAACGGAUCCGUGAGUCGGUUACGUACGAGGAAGAAUUAGCACCCUCGUAACGCCGAAAAUUGGUACCUAGUUAAUUAAUUAAUGUCUUAAUGUCGAAAAUUUGAAAAAUAUAAUCCUUAGCAAAAACUGAAAAACAUUACGUAUUAAGACCCUUAUCAUUUCAGAGAAAGAAAAUGCCAUACCCAAUGCGUUAGGGCACGGCAUUCUAAUUUCCUUAAAAAUGAAUUAGGCCAAAAUACUCGUACAAUAAAAAUUUAAAAGAAUAUCCAUUUAUUCAAGAUUUAAGAAAUCGCGGCCCAAUACGUUAGGGCACAAUUCCUCUAAAAUCCUAAACUCGGAAUAUUUCCUUUAUUAUUAUUUUUUAGAAAAAAUCUUCAUUUCGAGAAAUCAAUGCGUCACAUCCAAUACGUUAGGACACAACGUGUCAAAUUUCUAAUAAUGAGUUCUUAUUUUUUGAUUAAAGAGAAAUGCUCGAUUGUUAGAUUUAACAAAGAAAAUCGGAACCCAAUACGUUAGGGCUCAAUUUCCUUGAAAAUCCUAAAUACGAACAUUAUCUCAAUUUUGAAAAUUUUCUAUUUUUAAAUUCGAGUAAAAGAUGAUGUAACGUUAUUUUAUAUGUGUAAAUGUCGUAAUAACAAUGAUAACAAAUACAAUAAUGACAUAAAAAUAAUAUAAACAAAUAAAUAAAAAAAUAAAAGAUAUGAAAAUAUAAAUCAGCAAACAAAUAAAAAAAUAAAAAAAUAAAUGAAGAAAGGAAAGUGCAUAACAUAUACAUUGGAAUUAUAAGAAAUAAAAUACACGAUUUACAUAUAAAAUUUGAAUUAUAAAAUUUAUAUAAGUAUACAAUGCAUUUAUGAAAAUAAAGAAAAAUGUAUAAAUAUACAUAUAUAAAGUUUAAAAUAUAUGUGUGAAAAAAAUAUAAAUAUGUAUUUAAGCAUUUUCAAAAAUAUAAAAAAUAUGUACGUAUAUGUAUGAAAAUAUAAUAGAAUAUUCAAAAAAAAUAUGUAUACAUGUAAAACAUAUUAAAGAUAAUUUAUUAAUAUCUACAUUAAGAAAAAAAAUAUGAAUAUAUAUAUAUAUAUGAAAAAAAUAGUUGAAAGAAAAUAAAGAUGUUCAUAAGAAAAUAAUAAAUAUACAUAUAUAAUUAAAAAGAAUUACAUAAAAAAAUAAUUACAUCCUAAAAAUUAACUAAUUUUAAGAAAGAUAUAAAAAGAACUAAAUUGAAUUGCAAAUAAAAAAUUUGGGGCAAAUCCGCAAAUAAAUAAAGCCAAAAGGACCACAUUUAAACACACAAAUAAUGUAGAGGGGCUGGAAGGGCAAUUUUCCCUUCUCCCUUUUUUAAAAUCGUAGAUAAGUAAAAAAUAAUCGAAAAAAAAAGAAAACAGUAAGCCACCUUUAAAAAAAAAACUACCAAUCGUUCUCCUUUUUUUUAUUGAUUCUCCCCCUUUUUGAUGAAUGGAGAGGCCUCUAUAUAUAGCUGAGCCUCCCCAAAUCCAACGGUACAAAUCAAUUACAUCAACGGCUAAGAUUAAUGGUUAUCUACAAAUUAAAUCUUUAAGAUUACAAAAUCAUAUCUUCUAAGAUUGUAUAUAUCAUAUCUAAGAUUACAUAUAUCAUAUCUAAGAUUGCAUAUAUCAUAUCUAAGAUUGCAUAUCAUAUCUAAGAUUGUAUAUCCUCGAAAAUUAUGUUUCCAUAUGUGAGCCCGGGCUAAAAUUGGGUAUUACAUUUAUAUAUAUAUAUAUAUAUAUAUAUAUAUAUAUAUAUAUAUAUAUAUAUAUAUUCAUGCAUUUUUCUAAGCCCAUAGUUGGCCACCUAUUUACCCACAUUAAUUAAGUAGCGUAAUUGCUACUUUAGCCCUUUUAAUUUAUUUCAAUCAAUAAUUCAACUUUUAAUCCUUACGCGAUUUAGUCCCUGUACCUUAAUAACUCCUAAUUUCAUGAAAUUUACUAAAUCAAUAAUUAAUUAGCUACCCAACUAACUUCAUAAAUAUUUAAUUAAAUAUUUACGAGUCCGGUUUACGAAAACAAAAUCCUAGAAAUACGUUUUCUGACACCCCGACUAUCGAGUCGUUUACACUGGGCGACGAUUAGGAAUUUUAAUUAUGGGCAUUUAAGUCCAUAUAAUGAAAUGUAAUCAAAUUUUUGGGCUGUUAAUCAAUCCUAAUUAGGUCAAAACAUGAACUCUAUAAAUAGGCAUGUUUAGCCUCAUUUUAGGAGGCUUGGCUAAGUGAGACACUUAGUUAGCUUUAGGUUUUUAUUUUCUUUCAAUUUAGUCCUUUAAAUAGUUUUUGUUCUUGUUUAACUUGGAUUCUAUUUUAAUCCAAGCUUUCAAUUUAAUAGUUUUUAGUUAUUUCUUUUUGGUUUCCAAUCGCAAUCGAAAUUAUCUUCGCAAUUGUUAAAGGAAAUCCCACUUUUGUGCACAAAUCGACAUCGAGACAGAUUUAUUUUCUUAUUCCAUUCUUAUAUUUAAUUUACUAUUUUGUAUGUUAAAUAUGAGUUUAAGGAAUAUUGCAUCUAGGUCCAUUAGUGACUAGUUUCCUUAGGGAGAUUAAUGAACGGAUGUGUGACUAUUAACGAAUAAAUUAAUGUUUAGUUUCGAGUUAGUUGGUUUAAAUUAUGUGCGAUUAAACCCUAGGAAGUGAAAACUAGGGGUGUGCAUUCGGUUAACCGACCCGAAUUAGUUAAAAUCGAAUUAACCGACCUCCAAAAUUUUUUAACCGUUAAUCGAACCGGAAUUUUUUAAAAAAAUAUUAACCGAACCGAAUUUUUUUCGGUUAAAUCGGUCGGUUAACCGAAUUAACCAAAAAUCAUAUGAUUUUUUUGGUUAAAAAUUAACCGAUUUAACCUAUUUAACCGAUUAACCGAUUUAACCUAUUUAACCGAUUAACUGACUUAACCGAUUUAACCGAUUUAACCGAUUUAAAUCACUAUAUAAUUAAAAACAUGAAACAUGAAACAUGAAACAUGAAUUGUUCUCCCAAACGAGUGGGGGUGUGUGUGUGUGUGUGUAUAUAUAUAUUUUAAUUAUUGUAUUUACUCUUUUCAUAACCUUAAAAUUAUAAUCGAUUUAAACAUCGAAAAAUAUCAAUAUCAAUUUUAAUGCUCCCGUAGCUCAUCUUUCUCUCUUUAUUUUUUCUUUUCAUUACCUAACAAUUCGACUCAAAUUCAUAUCUAUGUAUGAACAAUAUCAAGAAAUACAUCAAAUAUAAAACCAAUUUACUCUAUUUAAGCUUAAUGGUAUAUUUCACCAACUAUCUUGAUUAGCAACCUUGAGCAAUCACCGACAAUUCGAUAGAGCCAGCCUGGUGGCACUUCCAUUGGUGUUUGCUUACGAUGGAAUCAUAAAAGGAUAAUAAUUUCUAAUAUUGCGAUGAAAUAUUUUUCAUUGAAAAUAAAACGAACCCUUCGAUAUUAGCAAACCUUACAUUGAAAUUAAAUUUGAUUUUGACUGUUAGGAAACUUCCAAUGACUAAAGCAUGGAUGACUCGAAACUUAAAAUACAGUUUUUAAUAUGGUGCAAGAUUUUUCAGUAAUCUCAACAAAGAUUACAUUAAUUAAGUAAUACGGUUUACGAAAGUCGAUAGUAUUUUAGUAUAAUUUAACCCAAAACAUUAAAAUAUAAAAUCCAAACACUUAAAACAAGAAGAAAGCAAUGAAUGUGCAUAUGCAAUGGUGUCUGCAGCAAUUAUAAAAUGCCCACAUUGUACUUUGUUACAGAAACCAGUUUGACAAUCUGUUUAUGCUUGGUUUUUUUUAAUGUAUCUUUGUGCAGAUCCUAUCACAAUCAUGAGAUUUCCAUUUCCUAAUUUAUUUAAUUAAGCCAUUUUUAAUUAAAUACAUCAGACUUCAGAGUUUGAUGCGUGGUGUUGAAUGAACAAAAACAGAGCAGAACUCUGACCCUUUACAAAAUGAACAAAAUAGCAAGCAGGUCAGGUAUUAGACAUAGUUGGGCCAAGUUGAAGGCGACAUAGCAACCAGUACCAGCUAACCUAAGGCUCACGUACUUUAACUUAGCUCUUUGUGGGUGUUAAUUUUCCAAAGCCACUUCAAAGUUCAAUCAGUGCGAGAAAUGAAAACAAAACCCUAAAAUUAAAAAAAAACAAAGGGAAAUUAGAAGAAACCAAACCUGGCCUUUGGGUAUUAGUCAAUUAGUGUGCUGGAAGAGAAAUGGAUAGCAAAAAUGGUGGAUUUUCCCGAAUGAAAAUCUGAGAUUCAGAUUGAAAAAUGAGAAGUUGAGAACCCGAUGGCAGAUUUGUGAGUUGUGACUUUGUGCUUGGUUGCUUGCUGUCUGUUGAGUGAGUGCUAUUGAGAAAA
Molecule: long non-coding RNA, 14122 nt
Filed under: Gossypium barbadense (sea-island cotton)
Lineage: Eukaryota; Viridiplantae; Streptophyta; Magnoliopsida; Malvales; Malvaceae
Description: long non-coding RNA (GBAR_LNC022629)
Source: RNAcentral